Molecule: ribosomal RNA, 600 nt
Filed under: uncultured bacterium
Lineage: Bacteria
Description: bacterial SSU rRNA
Rfam family: Bacterial small subunit ribosomal RNA
Source: RNAcentral
AAGGCCUUUACUGACGCUAAAGCUCGAAGGUGCGGGUAUCGAACAGGAUUAGAUACCCUGGUAGUCCGCACGGUAAACGAUGGAUGCCCGCUGUUUGCGAUAUACUGUGAGCGGCCAAGAGAAAUCGUUAAGCAUCCCACCUGGGGAGUACGCCGGCAACGGUGAAACUCAAAGGAAUUGACGGGGGCCCGCACAAGCGGAGGAACAUGUGGUUUAAUUCGAUGAUACGCGAGGAACCUUACCCGGGCUUGAACUGCAGCGGAAGGAUACAGAGAUGUUGACGUCCUUCGGGACCGCUGUGGAGGUGCUGCAUGGUUGUCGUCAGCUCGUGCCGUGAGGUGUCGGCUUAAGUGCCAUAACGAGCGCAACCCCUUUCAUUAGUUGCCAUCACUUCGGGUGGGCACUCUGGUGAUACUGCCACCGUAAGGUGUGAGGAAGGUGGGGAUGACGUCAAAUCAGCACGGCCCUUACGUCCGGGGCUACACACGUGUUACAAUGGGUGAUACAGAUGGCCGGUGCAUGGCAAUGUGCAUCAAAUCUUGAAAGUCAUCCUCAGUUCGGAUUGGGGUCUGCAACCCGACCCCAUGAAGCUGGAUUCGC